ACGGAAGGCAGCAGUGGGGUAUAUUGGGCAAUGAGCGAAAGCCUGACCCAGCAACGCCGCGUGAAGGAAGAAGGUCCUCGGAUUGUAAACUUCUUUUAUGAGGGACGAAGGAAGUGACGGUACCUCAUGAAUAAGCCACGGCUAACUACGUGCCAGCAGCCGCGGUAAUACGUAGGUGGCAAGCGUUAUCCGGAUUUACUGGGUGUAAAGGGCGCGUAGGCGGGGAUGCAAGUCAGAUGUGAAAUCUAUGGGCUUAACUCAUAAACUGCAUUUGAAACUGUAUCUCUUGAGUGCUGGAGAGGUGGAUGGAAUUCCUUGUGUAGCGGUGAAAUGCGUAGAUAUAAGGAAGAACACCAGUGGCGAAGGCGAUCUACUGGACAGUAACUGACGCUGAGGCGCGAGAGCGUGGGGAGCAGACAGGAUUAGAUACCCUGGUA
Molecule: ribosomal RNA, 437 nt
Filed under: uncultured Oscillospiraceae bacterium
Lineage: Bacteria; Bacillati; Bacillota; Clostridia; Eubacteriales; Oscillospiraceae
Description: partial 16S ribosomal RNA
Rfam family: Bacterial small subunit ribosomal RNA
Source: RNAcentral